RNAcentral lists this ribosomal RNA (253 nucleotides) under uncultured bacterium. Its description in RNAcentral is "partial 16S ribosomal RNA". It matches the Rfam family "Bacterial small subunit ribosomal RNA", at positions 524 to 776 of the family's 1533-position model. The record is from RNAcentral.
UACGUAGGGGGCAAGCGUUGUUCGGAUUUAUUGGGCGUAAAGAGCGUGUAGGCGGCCAGACAGGUCAGCUGUGAAAACUCGAGGCUCAACCUCGAGACGUCGGUUGAAACCGUCUGGCUAGAGUCCGGAAGAGGAGAGUGGAAUUCCCGGUGUAGCGGUGAAAUGCGCAGAUAUCGGGAAGAACACCCGUGGCGAAGGCGGCUCUCUGGGACGGUACUGACGCUGAGACGCGAAAGCGUGGGGAGCGAACAGG